UACGGGGGGGGCAAGCGUUGUUCGGAAUUACUGGGCGUAAAGGGCUCGUAGGCGGCCAACUAAGUCAGACGUGAAAUCCCUCGGCUUAACUGGGGAACUGCGUCUGAUACUGGCGAGCUUGAGUGCAGGAGAGGAACGCGGAAUUCCAGGUGUAGCGGUGAAAUGCGUAGAUAUCUGGAGGAACACCGGUGGCGAAGGCGGCGUUCUGGACUGUAACUGACACUGAGAAACGAAAGCCAGGGUAGCAAACGGG
This 253-nucleotide ribosomal RNA is filed under the name uncultured bacterium. RNAcentral describes it as "partial 16S ribosomal RNA". It matches the Rfam family "Bacterial small subunit ribosomal RNA", at positions 524 to 776 of the family's 1533-position model. The record is from RNAcentral.